This 992-nucleotide unclassified non-coding RNA is filed under the name Hevea brasiliensis (rubber tree). Lineage: Eukaryota; Viridiplantae; Streptophyta; Magnoliopsida; Malpighiales; Euphorbiaceae. The record is from RNAcentral.
UUUGUCUCCAAAUCCUCAUAAACUUUCUCAGCUUCAUCCAUCAUCCCAUUCCUACAGUAACAAGACAUCAAGUAAUUGUAACUGAUCGUGUCGGGUUUUAAGCCUACAUUGCUCAUUUCCUCAAUCAAAACCUUCACUCCUUCAGGAUCACCACCCUGAAAGUUCAUAAUCUUUACAUUGUAAGCACCAACAUCCGGACCGCAACCUCUCUUCGCCAUCUCAUUCCAAACCUUCUCAGCCUCAUCACACCUUCCUCCCUUGUACAAUGAGUUCAAUAUGGUUGUGAAAGUAACAGCUGUAAUUUCAACACCUUUCUCUUCCAUUUCCUUAAGUUUCUCCAUUGCCAAUUCAGGCUUCCCCAUUUCACAGUAAGACCUGAUCAAUACACCAUAUGAAACUUUGUCAGGUAAGAAUCCAUGCUUCUUUGGCAUUUCAUCAAACAGCUGGGGAACGCGAUCAUAAAAUUUGGAGUUCACACAAGCUGAAAGAAGCACGUUGAACGAAACUGCUGAUCUAGGGGUACCUAAAUCGUCCAUUUGAAGAUAAGUUUUAAGCGCCUGAUCAAACAUUCCAGCUAAUCCGUACGAACGAAUAAUAGAGGAAAGGAAGGGUUCCUGGGUAAUUUUUUUGUCAUCCUUGUGAGACUCGAGAAAGGCUUCGAUGUCGGAGAAACGAUGGGAUUUAGCGAGGCGUUUGACUGUGUAUUCUUGUGCAUAACGGGAGGAUAAAGGGGAAGUGUAAUGGUUAGAAACAGAGGAGUAAAUCUUUAGUGCUUUGUCUGGAUCGUGCUCAGACUUUAGCUUGGAUUUUGCUUUGGAGAUAGAGAUGGUCGCGCCGGCUAUUGAAGAAGCAGCGGCGGUGGCGGUGGUGGCGGCGGCGUCGGCCGAGGUUGAGAGGUGGCGCGCCAGGCGCAGGGAAAUGGAAGAAGACAUUAGGGUUUUAGCCGGUUUUGGGUAAACAAUGAAAGGUUUUAGGACGGCGGAAGGUUGCUG